GUGGGGAAUUUUGGACAAUGGGCGCAAGCCUGAUCCAGCAAUGCCGCGUGCAGGAAGAAGGCCUUCGGGUUGUAAACUGCUUUUGUACGGAACGAAACGGUCCUGGUUAAUACCUGGGGCUAAUGACGGUACCGUAAGAAUAAGCACCGGCUAACUACGUGCCAGCAGCCGCGGUAAUACGUAGGUUGCGAGCGUUAAUCGGAAUUAAUGGGCGUAAAGCGUGCGCAGGCGGUGCUGUAAGACAGGCGUGAAAUCCCCGGGCUCAACCUGGGAAUUGCGCUUGUGACUGCAGUGCUGGAGUACGGCAGAGGGGGAUGGAAUUCCGCGUGUAGCAGUGAAAUGCGUAGAUAUGCGGAGGAACACCGAUGGCGAAGGCAGUCCCCUGGGCCUGUACUGACGCUCAUGCACGAAAGCGUGGGGAGCAAACAGGAUUAGAAACCCCAGUAGUCC
RNAcentral lists this ribosomal RNA (450 nucleotides) under uncultured bacterium. Its description in RNAcentral is "partial 16S ribosomal RNA". It matches the Rfam family "Bacterial small subunit ribosomal RNA", at positions 354 to 796 of the family's 1533-position model. The record is from RNAcentral.